GGCUCAGGAUGAACGCGGGCGGUAUGCUUAACACAUGCAAGUCGAACGGGAAUCUUAGGAUUCUAGUGGCGGACGGGUGAGUAACGCGUGAGAAUUUGGCUUCAGGUCGGGGACAACAGUUGGAAACGACUGCUAAUACCGGAUAUGCCGGAAGGUGAAAGAUUUAUUGCCUGAAGAUAAGCUCGCGUCUGAUUAGCUAGUUGGUGGGGUAAGAGCCUACCAAGGCGACGAUCAGUAGCUGGUCUGAGAGGAUGAUCAGCCACACUGGGACUGAGACACGGCCCAGACUCCUACGGGAGGCAGCAGUGGGGAAUUUUCCGCAAUGGGCGAAAGCCUGACGGAGCAAUACCGCGUGAGGGAGGAAGGCUCUUGGGUCGUAAACCUCUUUUCUCAGGGAAGAAAAAAAUGACGGUACCUGAGGAAUAAGCAUCGGCUAACUCCGUGCCAGCAGCCGCGGUAAUACGGAGGAUGCAAGCGUUAUCCGGAAUGAUUGGGCGUAAAGGGUCUGUAGGUGGUGCUGUAAGUCUGCUGUUAAAGAGUCACGCUCAACGUGAUAAAAGCGGUGGAAACUACAGGACUAGAGUGCGGUCGGGGCAGAAGGAAUUCCUGGUGUAGCGGUGAAAUGCGUAGAUAUCAGGAAGAACACCGGUGGCGAAAGCGUUCUGCUAGUCCGCAACUGACACUGAGGGACGAAAGCUAGGGGAGCGAAUGGGAUUAGAUACCCCAGUAGUCCUAGCCGUAAACGAUGGAUACUAGGCGUGGCUUGUAUCGACCCGAGCCGUGCCGGAGCUAACGCGUUAAGUAUCCCGCCUGGGGAGUACGCACGCAAGUGUGAAACU
This 839-nucleotide ribosomal RNA is filed under the name uncultured bacterium. RNAcentral's name for it is "bacterial SSU rRNA". It matches the Rfam family "Bacterial small subunit ribosomal RNA", at positions 21 to 901 of the family's 1533-position model. The record is from RNAcentral.